This 45-nucleotide non-coding RNA is filed under the name Ligilactobacillus aviarius. RNAcentral describes it as "Lactobacillus aviarius PreQ1-I sequence". It matches the Rfam family "PreQ1 (pre queuosine) riboswitch aptamer". Rfam says of the family: This family is a bacterial riboswitch that binds to the metabolite preQ1, an intermediate in the biosynthesis of the modified nucleoside queuosine from GTP. One example of this riboswitch is located in the leader of the Bacillus subtilis ykvJKLM (queCDEF) operon which encodes four genes necessary for queuosine production. The record is from RNAcentral. Lineage: Bacteria; Bacillati; Bacillota; Bacilli; Lactobacillales; Lactobacillaceae. RNAcentral also lists the same sequence under 1 other name.
AUAUGAGUGGUUCGCGAAAAUCCCACUUAAAAAAACUAGAAAGAG